GAUGAAGAACGUAGCGAAAUGCGAUACGUAGUGUGAAUUGCAGAAUUCAGUGAAUCAUCGAAUCUUUGAACGCACAUUGCACCUCUCGGUACUCCGGGAGGUAUGCCUGUUCGAGCGUCAUUUGUACCCUCAAGCUCUGCUUGGUGUUGGGUGUUUGUUCCGCCUCUGUGUGUGAACUCGCCUCAAAACAAUUGGCAGCCGGCGUACUUGUUUCGGAGCGCAGCACAUUUUGCGAUCCAGAUCAACGUACAGCGGCAUCCAAGAAGCCUUAUUUAACGCUCUUGACCUCGGAUCAGGUAGGGAUACCCGCUGAACUUAAGCAUAUCAAUAAGCGGAGGA
This 339-nucleotide unclassified non-coding RNA is filed under the name soil metagenome. RNAcentral describes it as "partial contains 5.8S ribosomal RNA, internal transcribed spacer 2, and large subunit ribosomal RNA". The stretch from base 1 to 120 matches the Rfam family "5.8S ribosomal RNA", at positions 35 to 154 of the family's 154-position model. The record is from RNAcentral.